RNAcentral lists this ribosomal RNA (482 nucleotides) under uncultured bacterium. RNAcentral's name for it is "bacterial SSU rRNA". It matches the Rfam family "Bacterial small subunit ribosomal RNA", at positions 30 to 506 of the family's 1533-position model. The record is from RNAcentral.
UUGAACGCUGGCGGCGUGCCUAACACAUGCAAGUCGCACGUGAAAGUCCUUCGGGGCGAGUAAAGUGGCGCACGGGUGAGUAAUGCAUAGGAACGUACCUUUUGGUGGGGAAUAACCACGGGAAACCGUGGCUAAUACCGCAUAUACUGGUGACAGUAAAGAUGGCCUCUAUUUAUAAGCUAUCGCCAAUUGAGCGGCCUAUGCCCCAUUAGCUAGUUGGCAGGGUAAAAGCCUACCAAGGCAACGAUGGGUAGCUGGUCUGAGAGGACGAUCAGCCACACUGGAACUGAGACACGGUCCAGACUCCUACGGGAGGCAGCAGUGGGGAAUAUUGCACAAUGGGCGCAAGCCUGAUGCAGCAACGCUGUGUGAGUGAAGAAGGCCUUUGGGUCGUAAAGCUCUUUCGGCCGGGAAGAAGGGUGAUACCGUGAAUAAUCGUAUCAUUUGACUGUACCGGAAUAAGAAGCACCGGCUAACUACGU